Molecule: ribosomal RNA, 724 nt
Filed under: Bacillus cereus
Lineage: Bacteria; Bacillati; Bacillota; Bacilli; Caryophanales; Bacillaceae
Description: bacterial SSU rRNA
Rfam family: Bacterial small subunit ribosomal RNA
Source: RNAcentral
UAGAGUUUGAUCCUGGCUCAGGAUGAACGCUGGCGGCGUGCCUAAUACAUGCAAGUCGAGCGAAUGGAUUAAGAGCUUGCUCUUAUGAAGUUAGCGGCGGACGGGUGAGUAACACGUGGGUAACCUGCCCAUAAGACUGGGAUAACUCCGGGAAACCGGGGCUAAUACCGGAUAACAUUUUGAACGCAUGGUUGAAAUUGAAAGGCGGCUUCGGCUGUCACUUAUGGAUGGACCCGCGUCGCAUUAGCUAGUUGGUGAGGUAACGGCUCACCAAGGCAACGAUGCGUAGCCGACCUGAGAGGGUGAUCGGCCACACUGGGACUGAGACACGGCCCAGACUCCUACGGGAGGCAGCAGUAGGGAAUCUUCCGCAAUGGACGAAAGUCUGACGGAGCAACGCCGCGUGAGUGAUGAAGGCUUUCGGGUCGUAAAACUCUGUUGUUAGGGAAGAACAAGUGCUAGUUGUGGCACCUUGACGGUACCUAACCAGAAAGCCACGGCUAACUACGUGCCAGCAGCCGCGGUAAUACGUAGGUGGCAAGCGUUAUCCGGAAUUAUUGGGCGUAAAGCGCGCGCAGGUGGUUUCUUAAGUCUGAUGUGAAAGCCCACGGCUCAACCGUGGAGGGUCAUGAAACUGGGAGACUUGAGUGCAGAAGAGGAAAGUGGAAUCCAUGGUAGCGAAUGCGUAGAGAUAUGGAGGAACACCAGUGGCGAAGGCGACUUC